Molecule: ribosomal RNA, 303 nt
Filed under: uncultured bacterium
Lineage: Bacteria
Description: bacterial SSU rRNA
Rfam family: Bacterial small subunit ribosomal RNA
Source: RNAcentral
UGGGGAAUAUUGCACAAUGGGGGAAACCCUGAUGCAGCGACGCCGCGUGAGUGAAGAAGUAUUUCGGUAUGUAAAGCUCUAUCAGCAGGGAAGAAAAUGACGGUACCUGACUAAGAAGCCCCGGCUAACUACGUGCCAGCAGCCGCGGUAAUACGUAGGGGGCAAGCGUUAUCCGGAUUUACUGGGUGUAAAGGGAGCGUAGACGGUGAUGCAAGUCAGAAGUGAAAGCCCGGGGCUCAACUCCGGGACUGCUUUUGAAACUGUGUAACUGGAGUGCAGGAGAGGUAAGCGGAAUUCCUGGUG